Vidua chalybeata is the source of this 2068-nucleotide long non-coding RNA. RefSeq lists it as uncharacterized. The record is from RefSeq and is a predicted model, not a curated record. NCBI's taxonomy places the organism in Eukaryota, Metazoa, Chordata, Aves, Passeriformes, Viduidae. The transcript is spliced from 6 exons.
CAGGAAUUGCGUCUGGUCGGGACAAACUGUUCCACCGCUUGAUGAAAAUAGUUGCAUGUCAAGGCACAGUUUUUUUAUGAAGCAAAGCUGUUAACUCUGCAGCCUGAAGAAAGCAGAUCAUGAGGAGGAGAAGGUGUGUCAGCUUCUGAAGGCACUGACCAAGAACUGGGGUCCUGAACUUUGACUGCUGCUCCCCAGCUCUUACAGAGAUGUGACAAUGUUUGCUGUGGGUACCAGGCCUGAAAUAUCAGCAGUGAUAUCGUGUGAGGAAAGGAAAAUGUUCAAAACCUUGACUCUUCAUUCAUCAGUGGAGCUGAUAUCAACAGAAACUUUUCAGUAUGUAUCAAAUGAUAGUGGAGACAGAAGUGAGGAAAAUAAAAAGCUACACAUCGUUAUUUUCCUACUGAAUCUAGCAGAUUUGCAAACAAGCACUCACCCAAAAUGGAAUCAGAUAAGAACUCUUAACUGGAAAGGGAUGAGAUAGAGGUUAAUGCAGAAGAGAAUAUACCUAGAGUAUGACAAAAUACUAGCAAGAUUCUUCUAAGUGGCAGAGUUUGCAAAACUUGACUGACAGCUUAGUGUGAUCGAUGGGAGCAAUUCCCUUAUAUUUACAUCCAAAAAAGAAGUUAGGAAUAUUGUGACAAAUGACUUUGCUGAGUUACACUGCACUUCCUCAGACAGGUGUAAGGUGGUAAUUUGGGACAGGUCAGUGCUGAUGUUCCUACAGAGGGGCAUUACAUUUCUGCACCAAUAAAAAGGGUGCUAGAAGUAAAAAUAGUGCUUAGGUUAAAGCUGCAGCUCUCUCCUGCUUUGCCUCUGUACCAGAUAUUCUUGGUUUUUAAAGACAUUCUUCAGCAUUUUGCUCAUCUCGUGAACGCUCAGUAGCUGCGGAAGGCACAGCCUGGAGCGCUAUUCCAGGUCGCGGUGCCAUGAGCUGCCUGAGGAUCCGAGUCACGUACCUUGGGGCAAUCACGAUAUCGCCUUAAUCAGCUCUGCUGCUUGAUCUCUGCCGUGCAUCCCUAUUGCCAUGACAGCGAAGAGGCUGCCCCUUAAUCCCAGCUCCCUGAGCAAGUGAGAGGAACGGCAUCUCCUGUGGUGGAGUCACAUCUCUGUCCAGUCCCUGAGUGAGAGGAAUGGUGUCUCCCUGCGGUGCAGUUCCACCUCUGUUCCAGCAAAGGCAGCGGUGCCAUCCAGCGAGUGCCACCCCAGCUCCUGACAUCAAACACCAGGAAAUGUGCCUGUGCUGUCGGCUGGCAGAAGGCAAGAGCAGGACCACACUGCCCGAGGAAUCUCUUGGAAUUCUCAUGCCAAGCACUCUGGGUAUUUCAAGAGCUCCCCUCCAGGCAUGGAUUUGAUAUGCGCUUUGAUGUUUGUAUGCAGUUUUGAGUUGCCUUUUCUUUCCCCAAACUUUUGAUCUGAACAGUUUCUACCAGAAGGGAUUUUCGUCUCCUGUUGCACUGGAUUCACGUGUCGCAUUUGGAAACACGACAGCUGCCACUGCUGCACACAUGCAGGGGUGCAUUUCCUGCAGAGGAUGCAGUGUGGGCACUUCGUGCCACUGCAGAUGAGGUUGCUCUGGGCAUCCACCUUCUCCUCAGCAGUGAAGCCUGUUGCCCACAGCCAUUUCUUCUGGAAUAAAGGCCCUGCUCUUUGUAAGGUCACAGGGGAGCAGCAGGGUGCCACGCAGGCAGCAGGACAGCUGGGACCUGGGGGGUCCCACGGAGCAAUUCCAUGCUCCUUCUAAAGGCCACCUUCCACAGGCAGCAUCCCUCACUGGUUCUCAGGAGCUGGCUGCAGGAUGGACCCGGCAAACCAGCAGUGGGAUUUGCAAAUGAACAACUUUGCCUUGUCACAAAAAAACAUUACUUUCUGGUAUUUCAAGAUCUGGAAACCAGUGGCUUCCAGAGGCUGGGCUGAAUUUUUGCUCCAGACUGAAAUGAGAGGAGCAAUGUCCAUUAUUGCAGCAGCCAGAAAACAAUUAUACGUCAAAAAGUGAGGAGACAAGAAGAUGCUGGUCUCACUCUAUCUUGGCAAUAAGGAUGGUUAUUUAAUAAAUGCAAUUGCUACC